GGGACUAAAUUGGAGUGGCGCGCAAAGUUUAGGGCAAAAAUUAAAGAAAUGGAAUAGUAUUAAAUUAGAGGUAGUACAAAUGGGAGGGACUGUCUGUGCAAAUUCCCCUUUUAGGUGGAAAUGUGCAAUUCCAGCCUGUUGAGCAGGACAACACGCGGGCUCCCACUUCCUUAAUUGCAUCACUUUAAAUUUAAUAUAGCUUUUAUUAUACAUUCAUAUUUUUUAAAGCUUUCAAAACCACUUUUCUAAGCAAAAAACCCCCCCGAAAUUCCUUUCUUUUACUCCCCAAAAAUCCCUCUUUUCAGCUAGGAUUUCACAAACCCAUCAUCACCGUCGUUCACCAUGCCGAACGGAGAGGAGGACUCCGACGACGAGCCACAAGGUGGAUCCGGCAUAGAGUGGUGGAGGCAAGUGGGUGUGCUGGUGGCAGACAACUGGUAGUGGCGGGCCAAGGUGGGGCGGCGGCUAGGGUUCUUCUCCUCCCUUUUUGCUGAAAAUUGUUUAGGUUUGGGCUGGGCUUAGGGUUUUAGUUUGUUGGGCUAAAUUGAGUUUGGUUAGGGUUGGUUUAAGUUGGGCCAAAAUUGAGCCUCAACAAUACAUAGUUGGGGACGUGAUGGAUUUGUUAUAUAGUGGUAAGUGGCAUCCAAAAAGGGCCAGAAGUAGCAGAAGUGGAGAGUUUCCAAAUGAAGCCCAAGACACAUAGAGAUGUACAAUUUCGACUGCUACUUAUUUCAAUCACAUGUUAUAUCCCUAAUUUGUCAAUAAAUUCAUUCACGUGAAUGAAUAAAAGAAUGAUUACAACA
This is a long non-coding RNA of Gossypium arboreum, 803 nucleotides long. RefSeq lists it as uncharacterized. The record is from RefSeq and is a predicted model, not a curated record. NCBI's taxonomy places the organism in Eukaryota, Viridiplantae, Streptophyta, Magnoliopsida, Malvales, Malvaceae. The transcript has 2 exons.